UCGCUCCUACCGAUACCGGGUGAUGAGGUGAACUUUUUGGACUGAAUUUCAGGAAGAUACGUAAACCUUAUCACCUAGAGGAAGGAG
RNAcentral lists this ribosomal RNA (87 nucleotides) under uncultured eukaryote. RNAcentral's name for it is "partial small subunit ribosomal RNA". The record is from RNAcentral.